RNAcentral lists this ribosomal RNA (1528 nucleotides) under Klebsiella pneumoniae. RNAcentral describes it as "bacterial SSU rRNA". It matches the Rfam family "Bacterial small subunit ribosomal RNA". The record is from RNAcentral. Lineage: Bacteria; Pseudomonadati; Pseudomonadota; Gammaproteobacteria; Enterobacterales; Enterobacteriaceae. RNAcentral also lists the same sequence under 8 other names.
AGAGUUUGAUCAUGGCUCAGAUUGAACGCUGGCGGCAGGCCUAACACAUGCAAGUCGAGCGGUAGCACAGAGAGCUUGCUCUCGGGUGACGAGCGGCGGACGGGUGAGUAAUGUCUGGGAAACUGCCUGAUGGAGGGGGAUAACUACUGGAAACGGUAGCUAAUACCGCAUAACGUCGCAAGACCAAAGUGGGGGACCUUCGGGCCUCAUGCCAUCAGAUGUGCCCAGAUGGGAUUAGCUAGUAGGUGGGGUAACGGCUCACCUAGGCGACGAUCCCUAGCUGGUCUGAGAGGAUGACCAGCCACACUGGAACUGAGACACGGUCCAGACUCCUACGGGAGGCAGCAGUGGGGAAUAUUGCACAAUGGGCGCAAGCCUGAUGCAGCCAUGCCGCGUGUGUGAAGAAGGCCUUCGGGUUGUAAAGCACUUUCAGCGGGGAGGAAGGCGUUAAGGUUAAUAACCUUGGCGAUUGACGUUACCCGCAGAAGAAGCACCGGCUAACUCCGUGCCAGCAGCCGCGGUAAUACGGAGGGUGCAAGCGUUAAUCGGAAUUACUGGGCGUAAAGCGCACGCAGGCGGUCUGUCAAGUCGGAUGUGAAAUCCCCGGGCUCAACCUGGGAACUGCAUUCGAAACUGGCAGGCUAGAGUCUUGUAGAGGGGGGUAGAAUUCCAGGUGUAGCGGUGAAAUGCGUAGAGAUCUGGAGGAAUACCGGUGGCGAAGGCGGCCCCCUGGACAAAGACUGACGCUCAGGUGCGAAAGCGUGGGGAGCAAACAGGAUUAGAUACCCUGGUAGUCCACGCCGUAAACGAUGUCGAUUUGGAGGUUGUGCCCUUGAGGCGUGGCUUCCGGAGCUAACGCGUUAAAUCGACCGCCUGGGGAGUACGGCCGCAAGGUUAAAACUCAAAUGAAUUGACGGGGGCCCGCACAAGCGGUGGAGCAUGUGGUUUAAUUCGAUGCAACGCGAAGAACCUUACCUGGUCUUGACAUCCACAGAACUUUCCAGAGAUGGAUUGGUGCCUUCGGGAACUGUGAGACAGGUGCUGCAUGGCUGUCGUCAGCUCGUGUUGUGAAAUGUUGGGUUAAGUCCCGCAACGAGCGCAACCCUUAUCCUUUGUUGCCAGCGGUUAGGCCGGGAACUCAAAGGAGACUGCCAGUGAUAAACUGGAGGAAGGUGGGGAUGACGUCAAGUCAUCAUGGCCCUUACGACCAGGGCUACACACGUGCUACAAUGGCAUAUACAAAGAGAAGCGACCUCGCGAGAGCAAGCGGACCUCAUAAAGUAUGUCGUAGUCCGGAUUGGAGUCUGCAACUCGACUCCAUGAAGUCGGAAUCGCUAGUAAUCGUAGAUCAGAAUGCUACGGUGAAUACGUUCCCGGGCCUUGUACACACCGCCCGUCACACCAUGGGAGUGGGUUGCAAAAGAAGUAGGUAGCUUAACCUUCGGGAGGGCGCUUACCACUUUGUGAUUCAUGACUGGGGUGAAGUCGUAACAAGGUAACCGUAGGGGAACCUGCGGUUGGAUCACCU